ACGGACUAAAAUCCGUUGGCUUUAUAGACCAUGAGGGUUCAAGUCCCUCUACCCCCAU
RNAcentral lists this transfer RNA (58 nucleotides) under Porella densifolia. RNAcentral describes it as "partial tRNA-Leu". Lineage: Eukaryota; Viridiplantae; Streptophyta; Jungermanniopsida; Porellales; Porellaceae. The record is from RNAcentral.